RNAcentral lists this ribosomal RNA (266 nucleotides) under uncultured bacterium. Its description in RNAcentral is "partial 16S ribosomal RNA". It matches the Rfam family "Bacterial small subunit ribosomal RNA", at positions 793 to 1055 of the family's 1533-position model. The record is from RNAcentral.
GUCCACGCUGUAAACGAUGACGACUAGGUGUGGGGGUUCAGUCCUCUCCGUGCCGCAGCUAACGCAUUAAGUCGUCCGCCUGGGGAGUACGGCCGCAAGGUUGAAACUCAAAGGAAUUGACGGGGCCCGCACAAGCGGUGGAGCAUGUGGUUCAAUUCGAUGCAGAGCGAAGAACCUUACCUGGGCUUGACAUGGCGGAAGUAGGAACCCGAAAGGGGGACGACUCGUUGAGUCGAGAGCCGCCACAGGUGGUGCAUGGCUGUCGU